RNAcentral lists this transfer RNA (68 nucleotides) under Marmota monax (woodchuck). RNAcentral's name for it is "tRNA.Ala". Lineage: Eukaryota; Metazoa; Chordata; Mammalia; Rodentia; Sciuridae. The record is from RNAcentral.
GGAUUGUGGCUCAGAGGCAUAGUGCUUGCCUGGCAUGCCUGAGGCACUGGGUUCAAUCCUCAGCACCA